CAUAAUCAUUAGCUUUUUAAUUGGGAGCUCGUAUGAAUGGUUAAACAAAAGAAAUACUGUCUUUUUCUUAAUAGUUGAAAUUAACUUUUAAGUGAAAAGGCUUAAAUUUGUUAAGGGGACGAUAAGACCCUAUAAAGCUUUAUAAAUAAUUUAUAUACUUUAAAAAUUUAAAAAUAAAAUAAAAUUUUAAAUUUUUUAUUAUGUUGGGGCAACAUAGACAAAAUUAAAAAUAACUGUCAAUAAAAAAAACAUAAAUAAUUGAAAAGUUAUGAUCCUUUAUAAUGAUUAAAAAACAAAGUUACUUUAGGGAUAACAGCGUGAUUCUUUUUAAGAGUUCUAAUCGAAAAAAGAGUUUACGACCUCGAUGUUGAAUCAUAAAAUCUUUAUAAUGCAGCAGUUAUAAAAA
RNAcentral lists this ribosomal RNA (406 nucleotides) under Hemus cristulipes. RNAcentral's name for it is "partial 16S ribosomal RNA". The stretch from base 309 to 406 matches the Rfam family "Bacterial large subunit ribosomal RNA", at positions 2473 to 2570 of the family's 2925-position model. The record is from RNAcentral. Lineage: Eukaryota; Metazoa; Arthropoda; Malacostraca; Decapoda; Mithracidae.